RNAcentral lists this ribosomal RNA (450 nucleotides) under uncultured bacterium. RNAcentral describes it as "partial 16S ribosomal RNA". It matches the Rfam family "Bacterial small subunit ribosomal RNA", at positions 354 to 796 of the family's 1533-position model. The record is from RNAcentral.
GUGGGGAAUCUUCCGCAAUGGGCGAAAGCCUGACGGAGCAACGCCGCGUGAGUGAUGACGGCCUUCGGGUUGUAAAGCUCUGUUAUAUGGGACGAACGGGCAUGGGGCGAAUACCCCCAUGCAGUGACGGUACCGUAAGAGAAAGCCACGGCUAACUACGUGCCAGCAGCCGCGGUAAUACGUAGGUGGCAAGCGUUGUCCGGAAUUAUUGGGCGUAAAGGGCGUGUAGGCGGCCAGACAAGUCUGUCUUAAAAGUGCGGGGCUCAACCCCGUGAUGGGAUGGAAACUGUCGGGCUAGAGUGUCGGAGAGGAAAGCGGAAUUCCUAGUGUAGCGGUGAAAUGCGUAGAUAUUAGGAGGAACACCAGUGGCGAAAGCGGCUUUCUGGACGACAACUGACGCUGAGGCGCGAAAGCCAGGGGAGCAAACGGGAUUAGAUACCCUUGUAGUCC